AAACGAUUAAAGUCAGUCGUACCGUCGGGAAAUCAACUUUUCGGAUGUUGAGUCGCGGGUGUGCGGGAGUUUCGGCCCCCUCGUUCGUGAUAUUGGUGUCUUUUUGGUGUACUUUCUCGUGUGGUAGGUCAACGUCGAUUUCGAACGCCAUAAAAUGAUCGGGGGAAUGUAGCUUCAUUUUUUGAAGUGUUAUAGCCUUUGGUAGAUGUGGUGGUCGGGAUCGAGGAUUGCAACGAAUACCUUUUUGGGCUAUCCGUCUGACCUCUGGACGUCGCCCGAGUGCCGAAAGCUUGCUUACGGUCAUUUAGGUUAGACGGUCAAAAGGUUAGAACGCGAUUAAAUUCGUUAAGGACGUUGACGUAAUGGCUUUAAACGA
This 376-nucleotide ribosomal RNA is filed under the name Glomerales sp. RNAcentral's name for it is "LSU rRNA". Lineage: Eukaryota; Fungi; Glomeromycota; Glomeromycetes; Glomerales; Glomeraceae. The record is from RNAcentral.